ACAGUCACUGACAUUAGAUACCCGCGUAGUCCAGGGUGUAAACGCUGCAGACUUGGUGUUGGAGGCCCUUUGGGGGCAUUCAGUGCCGGAGAGAAGUUGUUAAGUCUGCUACUUGGGGAGUACGUCCGCAAGGAUGAAACUUAAAGGAAUUGGCGGGGGAGCACCGCAACGGGAGGAGCGUGCGGUUUAAUUGGAUUCAACGCCGUAAAACUCACCAGGGAAGACUGUUACAUGAAGGCCGAGAUGAAGACUCUGCUAGAUUUUCAG
RNAcentral lists this ribosomal RNA (267 nucleotides) under uncultured archaeon. Its description in RNAcentral is "partial 16S ribosomal RNA". It matches the Rfam family "Archaeal small subunit ribosomal RNA", at positions 716 to 982 of the family's 1478-position model. The record is from RNAcentral.